Molecule: ribosomal RNA, 498 nt
Filed under: uncultured bacterium
Lineage: Bacteria
Description: partial 16S ribosomal RNA
Rfam family: Bacterial small subunit ribosomal RNA
Source: RNAcentral
AUUGAACGCUGGCGGCAUGCCUUACACAUGCAAGUCGAACGGUAACAGGUCUUCGGAUGCUGACGAGUGGCGAACGGGUGAGUAAUACAUCGGAACGUGCCUAGUAGUGGGGGAUAACUACUCGAAAGAGUGGCUAAUACCGCAUGAGAUCUACGGAUGAAAGCAGGGGAUCGCAAGACCUUGUGCUACUAGAACGGCAGAUGGCAGAUUAGGUAGUUGGUGGGAUAAAAGCUUACCAAGCCGACGAUCUGUAGCUGGUCUGAGAGGACGAUCAGCCACACUGGGACUGAGACACGGCCCAGACUCCUACGGGAGGCAGCAGUGGGGAAUUUUGGACAAUGGGCGCAAGCCUGAUCCAGCAAUGCCGCGUGCAGGAUGAAGGCCUUCGGGUUGUAAACUGCUUUUGUACGGAACGAAAAGCCCCGGGUUAAUACCCUGGGGUCAUGACGGUACCGUAAGAAUAAGCACCGGCUAACUACGUGCCAGCAGCCGCAGUAA